This 7645-nucleotide long non-coding RNA is filed under the name Lotus japonicus. RNAcentral's name for it is "long non-coding RNA (LJAP_LNC001751)". Lineage: Eukaryota; Viridiplantae; Streptophyta; Magnoliopsida; Fabales; Fabaceae. The record is from RNAcentral.
CCAUUGCACUAUGUUGCCUUCCAUAGGUAUGCAUACCAAGGAAUGUUCAAAAACGAGUUUGAAGGACUAAAGUUUGCUACAAAUAAUGAAGUAUGUGGGGGUGGCUCAUCAUCAAAUUACAUUAGUGGUGAAGAGAUUCUGAGAAAUGAAUGGCAAGUCGACUUGAGUCACUCAAAAUGGGUUGAUCUUGGAAUCUUGUUGGCCAUGAUCGUUCUGUCUCGAGUGCUAUUUUUGGUGAUAGUCAAAACCACUAAGAAGGUAAAACCCAUUGUUGCAUCAUUCUUAUCAGCCCCUCCCAAGAAAUCGAUUCAGAUCAUGGAGAACCCAAAUGUCACUCCGUUGAAUUUGUAGCUUGGCCUACAUUACUUCCACAAGACAAGAUGAACUCUUAGGUGAAGUAUUUUGUAUCUGCUAUAAUGCUUGGAUUAUCAUGAUGUAAUUGAUGUGUAAUAAAAUAAUAAGGGUUAUCACACAUAUCUUAUGGAAUUUUAAUUAUGAAGUUUUAAUCUUUUGAGGUUAAGCCCUUUACAAAAGUUGUUGUGGGUGAGUAGAACUUUCAGAUGACGUAUUGGGUUUUCUAGAAAGUUGAUUUGUUGUGGAAGAGUCUUUUUGCCUAAAAGUGAUUUUGAGCUUGCAUGAGAAUAGUUUUUCCAUAUAAAUUGUUUAUCUCUUAUUUGUGUGCUAGUUAGUUUAGAAGAAAAAUCUUUAUUUAGCUUUCAAAGAGAAGAGACCGAGUGCAUUAUGAGAUUUUUUUUUAGGGUCAAGAGUCUUCGGGCUGAAAGUUAACUCAAGUAGUAAGAGUUAGAGAAGGGUUUGAGAGAGUAAAGGGUGAAGGGUUCAAAGUUCGAAUCAUGAGGAGGACAAAUUUACCAACAUUACUAACAACUUAUAACAUUUUCCUAUAACAAAAAGAGUCACUUUUUAAAGCUUAAGUUGUGUGCUUGAUAAAUUGAUUUGAGACUAGAGAAGUUAGGUUUUGAAAUCCUUAUGAAAAAAUAUUUGAACUUUUAUGCCUGUUCAAGCUUGAAACAAUAGGAAAAGGUUUUCAAAGUUAACCUUGUUGAAAUGGCUUUUGGAUGAGUAUAGAGAAAAGGAUUUUGGGCCAAAAAGAGGAAAAUAAAAAAGAAAAACUUUAUUUGGAGCUUAUUUAUGUGUUAAUUUCUUUAGUGAAAAAAGUUUGUGUGUGUUAUUUUGAAAAUGCCUAAAUGAGUAUUCUAAAUAGUAUUCGAGGACUCUAAGGAAAAUAAAAUAGGAAGUAGUAACCAUUUCGAUUACUUAGCAAAAAUAUGAAUGGAUUUACAUUCAUCAAAACACGAAAAAAAAUAUUUGGCUAACAAAUAAAUUUUAAAUUUACAGACACAAGUUAAAACUUAUUAAAUUGAAUUGGUGCCAAAAAAAUUAUUAAAUUGAAUAAAUGAAUAAGUUUUCUAUUCAGGUAGACAUUAAUUGAGUAGUGCAAGUCGUAGAAUACAACACUGGAAUCAGAGAAGGUAUUAAACAUUGUUUCAAGAUGUAGAUUCUACUAGAGUUUAAGGGAACUAGUUGAAAAAGUUAAAAUUGAGACUAAUAUUGUGGAGGCUCUUAGUAAGCAUAUACACACAGUAUUAAGAAUUAAGAAAUUGUAAAAUACAAUGGAUCCGCCCUUGUUUCUUGCCGCUAUCAAGCGAGGCUCAUGGCUCAAGGCCAUCAUGUGACAUAGAUUGAAAGAAAUGACAAAAAGAGAGAGGAGGAGGAUGUUAAACAGUGCAUGUGAUGGUCACAUUCUUAGAUCUUCAUCCUUUGAGUGCAUAUAUAAACUUUGUUUAAUUUGUUGAGUAAAAGAUUUGUGAAUUUGAUGUGCAUCUUGAGCAUUGUUGGGGUGUUGAAACUGAAAGCAAAACAGCAAAGGAAGGAGAAAGGAAAAGGAUCCAGGAGCUCUGGAAUUUGUUUUCUUCAACCUGGUACCCUUUUCUUUAUUUUGUUGAUUUCACUGGUUCUCUGUUUGUUUCAAAACAUUGGAUUUAUUAACUGCUUGUUUGCACCUGCUGUGUCAUUUUCCUUUCAAAUGUGAUCCACCCAGAAAUGUGAAAUAAUCAAAUCCAUAAAAUGUAGGUCCUAAACAGAGAAACUGCAUAGCAAUCAAAUAAACAACAAACAUUUUAUAAAAUGAGAGUGAUAAGUGAGAUAUUUAUCAAAAGAAAUGUGAUAAGUGAGAGAAUGAUUAUUAAAUGUGAGUAUAAAUGAAAAAAAUUAGAAAAAAAUGUCUUAAUUUUAUAAAACAAUAAAUAUUUUGAAAAAUAUGAAGUGAUACUAAAAUAAUAAUCUUUGUGGAACAGGUAAAAUAUUAAUAUAAUUUUAUAUAUAUUCGAGAAAUUUAUAGAAAAAAUUCAAAAGAAAAAAUUGCUAACAAAUAUACAUAAAACAAACUUUAUAGCAGUUUUUGAGACACAUAACAAAUUUUUGGCAUGACUGUUGGGUCUUGGAAGAAAGUUGCUACUGUGAUGGAGUAUAAUAUCAAUUUUGAUGAAUCAAAGCUGGUUUACGUAAUUGACCAAAAAAAAAAGCUGGUUUACGUCAAUAACAUUGCUACUGUGAUGUGAAUGUAUGCAUGCAUGUACCAACCUCGAAUCAUUAAUUAAGAUUGGGCAAUUAAAUACAAGUUUGAAAUUGGUCUAUUUCUUCAUUGGAGAGCGUUAAUUCCUCCACAGGUAUGCUUAUGCAUUACCGGCAACAUAUCUUUGUGGUUCUUUGUAAUGUUACUAUGUUAGACAAGUGAGUGUGACAUGAAGGGAGAAUCAGAUAAUCUUUUUAAUAAAAAGUUCAGUAAUGUUUGAUAUUUAUUUGAGUUUACUUUCAAAAAAAAAUUAUUUAGUUGAGUUUUUUUUUUCUAAUUAGUAUUUCUGUCAAUAUAAUUCGUGUCCCAAAUAUUUUAAUAAUUUAGUACAUUCACCUAAAGAUUUAAUAAAGAAACAUUCAUUAAGUUCUUUAUUAUAAUUUCUACCAUUCGAAAAUUAUAAAAAAUAUUUUCUUAAAAACUAAUUUGACAUUUUUUCCUUAUAAGAAUGAGGAACGUGGUUGUGAUUUGUGCCAGAAACAAACAAAAGAAGGUUUGUUGCAAGUCCUAGUCUAUUUAUAACUUCGAUUUUCUCAAAAUUUUCACCAAAAACAUUUAUGUAUUUGUUAACAAGUGUUAGUUGUUGGGAAAUAGAGGAUAUGAUUUAAAAUUGGGGAUAAAACUCCACAUUGUGCUAAAGAGCAAAUCACAAGUGAGUUGAACAUCAUAUUUUUCAUCCAAAACCUCAAGGUAUUAGGAGUAUGAGUCUUCUUACUUAUAAACCGCUCAAAAUUAUUCUUAUCUUCCAAUGUGAGAUUUACUCACACUUAAUGAAAGCGGAAGCCUUCAAAUACUUGGCCCUCUAAGUACUUGCACCGUCGUUUGGCUGAUUAACGAGAGCUCGCCACCUGGUCACAACAUUGUCAGGAAGAAUUUCGACACAAGGAGUCUGGCCAAACAACCAUCAGUUCUGAUACCACUGUUGGGCCAAACAGAGGAGAUGAUUUAAAACUAGGAGGAUAAAACUCCACAUUUGGCUAAAAAGCAACCACAAGUGAGUUGGACACCAUAUCUUUCACUCAAAACUUUAAAGCAUUAGGUGUAUGAGUGUUCUCACUUAUAAACCGCUCGAAGUUAUUCUUACUUCUAAUGUGAGACUUACUCACCUUUGAUACACAACAUUAGUAUCGUUUUGAGGAAGGUGGAUUACCCGACUUUCCCUUCAUUUUCCUUUUUCAUCAUCAAACAGAAAAAUAAAACAAGGGAUGACCGUCCUAGUAUGUCGCGAUGCCGAACCAAAAUUAAUUCUCCAAAACGGUUGAGGGACGACCGUCCUAGCAUUUAAUCCUAAGUAUAGUGUGGUUUCAACCUGGCUGCGACUUCCUUCUUGUAUAGGGUAAUUCUCACUUCCACAAAUCCCGACAAACAUAUCUUGGCUCCGGAAAAGCUCACCAGUCUCGUUCUGACCAGAGAGAAAGAGAGAGAUAUUUUCAACUUAUGGACUAAGUUGAUAUUACAUACACAACAUCAGGGACCAAAUUGACACUCAUGUGACACAUAACGUGACAUGAGAUAACCGUUAACUAGAGACGAACAAAAAACCUCCAAAAGGUCUAACGUGUCUCACAUUUUACAAUUUCACGGGCUUCCAGAGGUGCAAAAAUGACAAACACUAUAACUUCAAGGACCAAAUUGAUUACUCACUCGUUGAAUUUUAUCAACUACUUAGCCUAUUUAUGUAAAAUUGAGGUUAGUGUCAAACAACCACUUUAUCCCAAAAGCUUAAGUUAUUGGGUAAGGUCCACUUUAAUGGUUUUAUAUUAUAUUCUAACACGCCCCCUCACGCAAGAGCCCUUUGGGCUUGAAGCGUGGAUAAAUGCACAGGCCCACCCACCAUGUGCUUAAUUAAGUUCCACUUUAUAAUUAGAAAGUGAGGGAGCAAGGAUCGAACUCUAGACCUUUCGGUCAUAGAUGCUCUGAUACCAUGUAAAACAACCACUAGUUGCAUCGGCGCCAGUCCUAACCUUUUCAUCAGGGCAUUGAGUAGUUCCAGUGACAUAACCUUGGAGGUUAUUAGCUUCAAGAAGAUGAGUGAUUUGCUUAUGCUAGAUAAGGUAGUUUGUCAAAUUCAGUUUGAUGGGUAGGCUAGGGGUAAAGUUGAAUUCAAGAAGAUCAGAGGAAGUACAUGUACGUGUAGUGGGAGCCAUGAAGGAUCGAUGAAAGCGAUUAAGCUAGCGAGAAGUCUGAUACCAUAUAGAAAAAGGAGAUGAACAAUAGAAAUGUUAUCUUAUUCCAAUAUGUGCAGAUUACAUGAGUAUAAAUAGAGUAUUUUGAAUUACAAAUACAAAACAGAAAAUAUCUUGUCUACAAUAGAGAAUAUGCUAAAAUUAAAUUUGAAAGUUAUUUUACUCAAUCUGUUUUACUGAUUAUGCCAACAGUUAGCUCAGUCUAUUUCCACCUUAUGUCACCUUAUUUUACACAUACAUCUCUUUUACUUUCUCAUAAAAAAAUUCUUAUAUAUAUAUAUAUAUAUUUGGUCAAAUAAUUUUUUGUCUCAUCCUUUUGUGAAACAUUAUUCAAUAAAAAUCUAUUGCAUGUAAAAGAAAAUGUGAAUGCAUGCAGAAAAAUCUUCCCACGAAAUAAUCUAUAUAUAUGGCUCUUGACAUCAUGCAAAAUCAAUACUGAGCCAUUGUAUUCAAUAAUGGCUUCCCUUAUUCCAGCUGCUCCUAUUGAUCAUGAAAUUAUACCGUGUCCAACAUCAGAGGAACUAUUGAGCCAUUGGACCUGCUUCUGCUGCAUCUGAGGUUAGGAACUAGCCCCAUAGUUUUGGGAAUUGGGUUACGCGGAGGAAUACCCUACAUUAACGCAUUCGUGAUAUUUGAAUUGUACAGUUAAGAUCGGCUGGCUCCUAUUUCUGAUGUAUAUAGGACGGUAAACAUGUCUUAAAAUUUAAGUUGUUUGGUCAAGAUCGAAUGGUUUAAAUUUUUUGACUGCAUAAAAACCGGGAUUCUCGACUUCAGAGAAUCCAUUUUCAUUUUCCACCAUCAGAAAUUUUUAUCUUCCUUUCUCACUAUGAUGUUGCACUUCUAACUCUGCUUUCAUUUUAAUGUAGUUUUUUGCUUCAAAUGGUUUUCCUUGUCCUACCCUCCAGAAUCCAUCUGAUCAUUUACUUAAAACUAUAAACAAGGAUUUUGAGCAGGUAAGCUGACCAUAUGCAUUCAUGCUUUCUUCAUGAUUUCAUUAUAUUCUUAUAUGCAAAUGGCAUUUCCAUUUACAUUUAUUUAAAGUGUGUGCUAGCAUCAGUUUGCACCAGUAUUAAUAUAUAUCCAAACACAUGCAUAGUAGUCAAUAAUACUAGUCAAAAUCAUAUUAAAGUACCUUUUUUUUCAGGACAUUGAGGUAGGUUUAGCUGGGACUAGAACAAUACCCACAACAGAAGCAAUCCAUAUCCUUCUUAGCUCAUAUAAAUCAUCUAAUUGGAACCAAGAAGUUCAAAAUGAAGUAGCAAUAAUACUAUCGGAAAAGGUAUCCUCUAUGGCUAACAAGAUCUUAUAGCAAAUACCUAAAUCUAAAUAUGAUCCAAAGUUAACAUCAAACUAUUAUGGAUUUUCAGGAUUCCAAUCCAACAUACACGAGGAGAGAGCAUGCUGGCUUCCUUAAUCAAUGCUUAGUUCUUACCAAAAGAUCAUCUGUCAACAUGUUUCGUGAUCUAGGCUACUACUGGUUCCGCCUUGUCGUAUAUAUUGCAUUGGGUUUAAGUAUAGCCACUGUCUUCUAUGAUCUUGGUACAACAAAUGGUUCAAUUAAGGUAACAGUGGGAAAGUAAUACAGUAUGACUUACCUAAUAAGCUACACUGCUUCAAUUGAUUAUCGGUUUACCUAAUGUCUUCUAAUUCUACAGUCACUUUUGGUUAUUUCAGGAUAGAGUUUCACUCAUCAUGUUCGUGUCUUCAUUCAUAACUUUGAUGACCAUUGGUGGAUUCCCUUCCUUUGUGGAAGAAAUGAAGGCAAUUCAAAGUUUCAAACCUUUUUUUUUCUCAAUUUUGCAAAUACAUGUAGUCAAUUAUUAUUAUUAUUUAUUUAAUUUUUUGUUUCCAAUUAUUGAUAUAGGUAUUUGAACGUGAAAGACUAAAUGGGCAUUAUGGUGUUACUGCAUAUGUAAUUGGGAACACCUUUUCAUCCAUCCCAUACUUGUUGCUGAUUACAAUAAUUCAUGGAGUUAUAACUUAUUACCCUCCUGGUCUUCCGAAAGGAUAUGAACACUUUCUGUAUUUUUUUUUGUUCUGUUUUCUUGUCUAAUGAUAGUAGAGAGCCUUAUGAUGACAGUUGCAAGCAUUGUUCCAAACUUUCUAAUGGGUAUCAUAACUGGUUCUGGAAUUCAAGGAAUCAUGAUCUUAGGUGGAGGGUUCUUCAGAUUGCCAAAUGAUCUUCCUAAGCCAUUUUGGAGAUAUCCAUUGCACUAUGUUGCCUUCCAUAGGUAUGCAUACCAAGGAAUGUUCAAAAACGAGUUUAAAGGACUAAAAUUUGCUACAAAUACUGAAAUUAAUGCAUAUCAAGUGAAUAUGAGUUACUCAAAAUGGGUUGAUCUUGGAAUCUUGCUGGCCAUGAUUGUUCUGUUUCGAGUGCUAUUUUUGGUGAUAAUCAAAACCACUGAGAAGGUAAAACCUAUUGUUGUAUCAUUCUUGUCAGCGCCUUCCAAGCAAUCUAUUCAGAUCAUGGAGAACCCAAAUGCCACUCCUUGAAUGUUUAGUUUGGUCUAAAUAACUUCCACAGAUAAGGUAAUACCCUAUAAUGAUGUAAUUGAAGUGUAAUAAAAUAAUAAGGGUGAUGAAUAUAUCACUUUGUGGUGGUUUACCCACACAAAAGGUCGUUAUGAACCCUGCAAAAGUGAAAUGUUCAAAAAAUGUCGGUGGAAAAUGUAUGUCUAGCGAUCAUUAUACCUAAUGCGAAAUAAUGUAUAGAUGGAAUAAGAGAAAUGUCUUCUCUUAAGCUUCUUAAUCUUGUGAUAGUAAUAAACUGUGUAUAAGAUCUUAUAUUUAAAUAGUAAAUUUUUUUUUUCUCUAUGUAAAAUUAAAAAGCUUCAAGCUUUCCUCAAAAAAUUUAUUUCAAACA